RNAcentral lists this ribosomal RNA (254 nucleotides) under uncultured bacterium. RNAcentral's name for it is "partial small subunit ribosomal RNA". It matches the Rfam family "Bacterial small subunit ribosomal RNA", at positions 26 to 285 of the family's 1533-position model. The record is from RNAcentral.
AGGACGAACGCUGGCGGCGUGCUUAACACAUGCAAGUCGAGCGGAAAGGCCCUUCGGGGUACUCGAGCGGCGAACGGGUGAGUAACACGUGAGUAAUCGGCCCCUAGCUCUGGGAUAGCUCCGGGAAACCGGGAUUAAUACCGGAUACGACCACCUUAGACAUCUUUUGUGGUGGAAAGAAUUUCGGCUAGGGAUGAGCUCGCGGCCUAUCAGCUUGUUGGUGGGGUAAUGGCCUACCAAGGCGACGACGGGUA